This is a long non-coding RNA of Trachemys scripta elegans, 1560 nucleotides long. RefSeq lists it as uncharacterized. Lineage: Eukaryota; Metazoa; Chordata; Testudines; Emydidae. The transcript has 3 exons. The record is from RefSeq and is a predicted model, not a curated record.
UCCAGCCCCCAAGGUUGUAAGUGAAGGAAGAAAUUGUAGGCAUCGCAGUGUGAGUGGAGAGGCGGUAGGUACUGGGGCGUGGAAAAGGUUAUGGGUAUCGUGUGCAUGUGGAGAGGGCUGUUGCUGUAGGUAUAGAGGGAGCAGGAUGCUGUGUGGGAAAGGGGUUGCUUGCCACUGAAGGUUGGAGAAAUUCAGCUUUUCACCACAGAGAGGAAGUAGGGAGUGUUAUCUUUCUCUUUACUCCUCACAGCACUUGGUUAAAGUGAGCAACUUUUACAAAAAUAAAUAAUCUACUCUUCUGGCCUCCUAUGAACAUGGGUUGCUGGGCAGUUGCCUCUCCCUCACUACAGCCACAGGAGCAGGCUCUUCUGUUUACCAUGCUGGUUACCUCCUCUCCCUGGUCUCAGUGAAAGAGAGGUGAGCGAAGGAAACUCCAGGAAGAGACAGCUCUUGACUGGCUGAGUGUAUGCCAAGGAGGAGCCACCUGGGGGUGCAGGUUGCAGAGGCAGAUGGGACAAGGCAGUAUGUAUUUGUGUGUGCGGGUGUAUGUGGACUGCAAGAGGACAGGUAGGUAUUUGAGGUCUCUGUGUGCCAAAGAGUAGUGGUUGUGGAUACAAGAAGGAAAAGUAGUGGGGAGAAAGGGGUGCAAUUCCCUAAAGGAGAAAAAAACUGGAAUAUUUAUUGAGAAAGGGACCUGAAAAGGGCGGAGAGACAGAGAUUGAGAUCAAGGAGAAUAAAGACCCAAGGGAAGUGAGUCCAGGAAGAAAGUCAGAGGGAGGGUGCCAAGGCCACUGAGAGUGAAAGACUGUAGAAGAAAGAAGAGAUCCAAAAGGGAAGAGAGCAGGAGCAUGAGAGUGGUUAUGAGGAGAAUGGAGCAGUGAGUGAUAGAAGAAGAGGGAUCCAUAGAGGAAGGGCAAGAUGUUGGUCCCAUCUAUGCUAUAAAAUGCACCAUGCUUGUUACCAAUUACAAAGCAAUCAUACCACUGUUAGUAAUCCCAAACAGCUCAGGGUUGCAGAGAACAUGGGACCACACCAUGUUGAUUAACUUUGUUGGAGUUUUGCUUUAUUGCAGAAGUCAUGAAAACUGCUAAAACAUGGUUCUGACUUGUCUUCACUUCAGGAUUAAAUCUAUUCCACUAUUCUGGAGGAGAAUUUUCUCUAAACAUAGAUCAUUAAUACAGAACUCUUUAAGUUUAAAAAAAGGCUUAAAAGAGUUUUGCAUGGUGUAUAUAUACCAUAAAGAAGAUACAUGCACACAAGAAAUGAAGAAUCACAUCCAAGUUUAAAUGGAUUUCUCAGUUUUAUGUGUUGUAUGCUAAGGACUGUAAAUAAUGAGUCACUCUGGCUGAUGUCAGGAUCUCACUAUCAGAGCACUUGUGCAGCAGUAAACCUAGAGUAAUCUUUCUUCUGUGUGCCAGGCUGUUUGGUUGGUAAGUACAAUUUUAAAAUUUUUGAAACCCCUUUUUCCCUCAAUAACUGAUCUGAGUUGGAAAUAUAACCCUUCAAACUGCAAUUUUUCAUAGGAAGAAUUUCACACGCCUCUCCUAUUUGUUAGAUGAA